Molecule: ribosomal RNA, 450 nt
Filed under: uncultured bacterium
Lineage: Bacteria
Description: partial 16S ribosomal RNA
Rfam family: Bacterial small subunit ribosomal RNA
Source: RNAcentral
CCUACGGGGGGCAGCAGUCGAGAAUCUUCGGCAAUGGGCGCAAGCCUGACCGAGCGACGCCGCGUGCGGGAUGAAGGCCUUCGGGUUGUAAACCGCUGUCAGUGCGGAGGAAAUGUAGUGGGGUACUCCCCAUUAUUUGACCUAUGCGCAGAGGAAGGACGGGCUAAGUUCGUGCCAGCAGCCGCGGUAAGACGAACCGUCCAAACGUUAUUCGGAAUCACUGGGCUUAAAGGUCUCUUAGGCGGUCUGUGAAAGCCCUCGGCUCAACCGAGGAAUAGCGCCCAAAACUAGCGGACUUGAGCAAGGCAGAGGUGAACGGAACUAAGGGUGGAGCGGUGAAAUGCGUUGAUAUCCUUAGGAACACCAGUAGCGAAAGCGGUUCACUGGGCCUUUUCUGACGCUGAUGCACGAAAGCCAGGGGAGCGAACGGGAUUAGAUACCCCAGUAGUC